Molecule: long non-coding RNA, 1146 nt
Filed under: Physeter macrocephalus (sperm whale)
Lineage: Eukaryota; Metazoa; Chordata; Mammalia; Artiodactyla; Physeteridae
Description: Physeter catodon (sperm whale) lncRNA (ENSPCTG00005004121.1)
Source: RNAcentral
AUGCUUAAGUCUGAGAAUAUUGUCCCUACAAGGAAACACAUUCAGAAAAAUAAAUCUACUUUGAACCGACAUACCCAGAAGUUUUUAUCUAUAAAAAAUCAUUGUCAAAUACUACUUACAUUCUUUAGAAAAAAGUCUCUUUCUUUUACCCUGUCCACCUUCUGCACCUCCUCCAAUUUCUUCAUUUUCUUCCUCAAACUAUAAGUUAAAAUGUGUAUAUAGAUAUGUCAAGCACUGCUUUUGACUUUUUAAUAAUUAACAUUUUUUUUCCAUCUUCAACACUGAUAUCAUGCCAGAAAGCCUAAAUAAAGCAAGCAGCAAAACACCAUGAAACCUUAGCAUUUUAGGGGCCUUACAACUAUCCUGUCCAACUUCAGACUCACAUAGGAAUGGCUUCUACAAUGUCCCCAACAACUGUACUGCCUCUACUGGAACAGUUCCAACGACCAUACAUUCUUUUUUUUAACCAACAAAGUUGGCCUAUUUCUAGACAGUUUUACUAUUAAAAGAGUUGAUACUGAAUCAAAGUAAGCAAAACUAGUAUUUACUAAGCACUGCUUACAAAGUGCUAAGAACUUUCCUCAAGACUUAAGCCUAUUUUAUGACAUGAAAACCGAGGCUCAAAGUUAAAUAACUCUGCUCACAGAGAACAGAGGUUUUGAAACCCAUGCUCCCUGACUUUGAGUACAUUAUUUUUCCACUACUUUACAAUAAGUAUAUAGUUUUGUUAGCAGUUGAAUUGUUGGUUCAUAAUGAGAGCUAACAAAUACUAGCUUUGUCCUCUAAUGAUGCUCUAGGUGUUUCAAAGGGUGUCUGGCAAAUAUGGACCAAAAGCAAAGGGCAGGGGACCACCCUCCUACUCUUCCUGCCCCGUCCUACGAUUAAUCGGAAGAAAAAGCCUAGCACGGGGUGAAGUCUCCGAUUCUCUCGGCUGAAUUCACUAAGGAAAACAAACCCGAUUCUCGGCCUCCGCUACGGUGCCCUAGGGAGUGAAUAAAAAAGUGGGUUGAAACAGACGCCGUCACUCACGGUGGGGUCUUCCUCUUCAUCUGCCAUCCCAGCAGCCAGCCACCUACAGGCUGCGCCCGCCUCCCACGGAGCAGGUUUUACUACUUCCGCGGGCUCACUUCCGGUGACGCGAGGAGG